GACGAACGCUGGCGGCGUGCUUAACACAUGCAAGUCGAACGGAAAGGCCCUGCUUUUGUGUGUUGCUCGAGUUGCGAACGGGUGAGUAACACGUGUGUAACCUGCCCUUGACUUUGGUAUAUCUUCAGGAAACUUGGGCUAAUACCGGAUAUGAGCUCCUGCUGCAUGUUGUGGGUUGGAUAGUUUCGGCGGUUGGGGAUGGACUCGCGGCUUAUCAGCUUGUUUGUGGGGUAGUGGCUUACCAAGGCUUUGACGGGUAGCCGGCCUGAGAGGGUGACCGGCAACAAUGGGACGGAGAUACGGCCCAGAAUACUACGGGAGGCAGCAGUGGGGAAUAGUGCACAAUGGGAGGAAGCAUGAUGCAGCAACGCCGCGUGCGGGAUGACGGCCUUCGGGUUGUAAACAGAUUUCGACUGUGACGAAGAGUGAGUGACGGUAAUGGGUAAAGAAGCACCGGCUAACUACGUG
This 468-nucleotide ribosomal RNA is filed under the name uncultured bacterium. Its description in RNAcentral is "partial 16S ribosomal RNA". It matches the Rfam family "Bacterial small subunit ribosomal RNA", at positions 28 to 507 of the family's 1533-position model. The record is from RNAcentral.